This 468-nucleotide ribosomal RNA is filed under the name uncultured bacterium. Its description in RNAcentral is "partial 16S ribosomal RNA". It matches the Rfam family "Bacterial small subunit ribosomal RNA", at positions 28 to 507 of the family's 1533-position model. The record is from RNAcentral.
GACGAACGCUGGCGGCGUGCUUAACACAUGCAAGUCGAACGGAAAGGCCCUGCUUUUGUGGGGUGCUCGAGUGGCGAACGGGUGAGUAACACGUGAGUAACCUGCCCUUGUCUUUGGGAUAACUUCAGGAAACUGGGGCUAAUACCGGAUAGGAGCUCCUGCUGCAUGGUGGGGGUUGGAAAGUUUCGGCGGUUGGGGAUGGACUCGCGGCUUAUCAGCUUGUUGGUGGGGUAGUGGCUGACCAAGGCUUUGAGGGGUAGCCGGCCUGAGAGGGUGACCGGGCACAUUGGGACUGAGAUACGGCCCAGACUCCUACGGGAGGCAGUGGGCGGGAAUAUUGCAGAAUGGGCGGAAGCCUGAGGCGGCAGCGCCGCGUGCGGGAUGACGGCCUUCGGGUUGUAAACCGCUUUCGCCUGUGAUGAAGCGUGAGUGACGGUAAUGGGUAAAGAAGCACCGGCUAACUACGUG